UACGUAGGGGGCAAGCGUUGUCCGGAUUUAUUGGGCGUAAAGAGCGUGUAGGCGGCUUGACAGGUCUGCUGUGAAAACUCGAGGCUCAACCUCGAGACGUCGGUUGAAACCACCUGGCUAGAGUCCGGAAGAGGAGAGUGGAAUUCCCGGUGUAGCGGUGAAAUGCGCAGAUAUCGGGAAGAACACCCGUGGCGAAGGCGGCUCUCUGGGACGGUACUGACGCUGAGACGCGAAAGCGUGGGGAGCGAACAGG
RNAcentral lists this ribosomal RNA (253 nucleotides) under uncultured bacterium. RNAcentral's name for it is "partial 16S ribosomal RNA". It matches the Rfam family "Bacterial small subunit ribosomal RNA", at positions 524 to 776 of the family's 1533-position model. The record is from RNAcentral.